UACGUAGGGCGCAAGCGUUGUCCGGAAUUAUUGGGCGUAAAGAGCUCGUAGGCGGUUUGUCGCGUCUGCUGUGAAAUCCCCAGGCUCAACUUGGGGCGUGCAGUGGGUACGGGCAGACUAGAGUGCGGUAGGGGAGACUGGAAUUCCUGGUGUAGCGGUGAAAUGCGCAGAUAUCAGGAGGAACACCGGUGGCGAAGGCGGGUCUCUGGGCCGUAACUGACGCUGGAGGAGCGAAGGCAUGGGGAGCGAACGGG
This 254-nucleotide ribosomal RNA is filed under the name uncultured bacterium. RNAcentral's name for it is "partial 16S ribosomal RNA". It matches the Rfam family "Bacterial small subunit ribosomal RNA", at positions 524 to 776 of the family's 1533-position model. The record is from RNAcentral.